GGUUUGAUCCUGGCUCAGAUUGAACGCUGGCGGCAGGCCUAACACAUGCAAGUCGAGCGGCAGCGGGAAAGUAGCUUGCUACUUUUGCCGGCGAGCGGCGGACGGGUGAGUAAUGCCUGGGGAUCUGCCCAGUCGAGGGGGAUAACAGUUGGAAACGACUGCUAAUACCGCAUACGCCCUACGGGGGAAAGGAGGGGACCUUCGGGCCUUUCGCGAUUGGAUGAACCCAGGUGGGAUUAGCUAGUUGGUGGGGUAAUGGCUCACCAAGGCGACGAUCCCUAGCUGGUCUGAGAGGAUGAUCAGCCACACUGGAACUGAGACACGGUCCAGACUCCUACGGGAGGCAGCAGUGGGGAAUAUUGCACAAUGGGGGAAACCCUGAUGCAGCCAUGCCGCGUGUGUGAAGAAGGCCUUCGGGUUGUAAAGCACUUUCAGCGAGGAGGAAAGGUUGG
This 452-nucleotide ribosomal RNA is filed under the name Aeromonas sp. 01WB03.2-15. RNAcentral describes it as "bacterial SSU rRNA". It matches the Rfam family "Bacterial small subunit ribosomal RNA", at positions 10 to 456 of the family's 1533-position model. The record is from RNAcentral. Lineage: Bacteria; Pseudomonadati; Pseudomonadota; Gammaproteobacteria; Aeromonadales; Aeromonadaceae.